UACUGAGGGGGCAAGCGUUGUCCGGACUUACUGGGCGUAAAGGGUGCGUAGGCGGCCUGCUGCGUCGGUGCUGAAAGCGCCCGGCUUAACCGGGCGAGGCGUGCCGAUACGAGCGGGCUGGAGCCUUGGCGAGGGUGGCGGAACUCCUGGUGUAGUGGUGAAAUGCGUAGAGAUCAGGAAGAACACCCGUGGCGCAAGCGGCCACCUGGCCAAGAGCUGACGCUGAGGCACGAGAGCGUGGGGAGCGAACCGG
This 253-nucleotide ribosomal RNA is filed under the name uncultured bacterium. RNAcentral describes it as "partial 16S ribosomal RNA". It matches the Rfam family "Bacterial small subunit ribosomal RNA", at positions 524 to 776 of the family's 1533-position model. The record is from RNAcentral.